RNAcentral lists this ribosomal RNA (497 nucleotides) under uncultured bacterium. Its description in RNAcentral is "partial 16S ribosomal RNA". It matches the Rfam family "Bacterial small subunit ribosomal RNA", at positions 28 to 507 of the family's 1533-position model. The record is from RNAcentral.
GAUGAACGCUGGCGGCGUGCCUAAUACAUGCAAGUCGAGCGAACAGACGAGGAGCUUGCUCCUCGGACGUUAGCGGCGCACGGGUGUGUUACACGUGGAUAACCCACUUAUCAGACUGGGAUAACUUCGGGAAACCGGCUCUUAUACCAGACAAUAUAUUGAAAUGCAUGGUUCAAUAGUGAAAGACGGGUUUUCUGUCACGUCUAGAUCGUACCACCCCGCUUUUGCUGGUUGGUAAGGUAAAGGCUUACCCAGGUGACGAUGCGUAGCCGAUCCGAGGGGGUGAUCGGCCACACUGGAACUGAGACACGGUCCAGACUCCUACGGGAGGCAGCGGUCGGGAAUCUUCCGCAAUGAGCGGAAGCGUGACGGAGCAAAGCCGCGUAAGUGAUGAAGGUCUUCGGCUCGUAAAGCUCUGUUAUUAGGGAAGAACAAAUGUGUAAGUACCUGUAAGCGUCUUGACGGUACCUAAUCAGAAAGCACCGGCUAACUACGUG